This 75-nucleotide transfer RNA is filed under the name Mycobacterium phage Loadrie. RNAcentral's name for it is "tRNA-Gly". It matches the Rfam family "tRNA". From Rfam's summary of the family: Transfer RNA (tRNA) molecules are approximately 80 nucleotides in length. Their secondary structure includes four short double-helical elements and three loops (D, anti-codon, and T loops). Lineage: Duplodnaviria; Heunggongvirae; Uroviricota; Caudoviricetes; Vilmaviridae. The record is from RNAcentral.
GUGCCAGUAACCCAUGUUGGCUGGGUACCUGACUUCCACUCAGGAUUUCGCGGGUUCGAUUCCUGUCUGGCACAC